Non-coding RNA from Podarcis lilfordi (Lilford's wall lizard), 74 nucleotides. Lineage: Eukaryota; Metazoa; Chordata; Lepidosauria; Squamata; Lacertidae. The record is from the annotation of a GenBank genome assembly.
GGCUGGGUGGCUCAGUUGGUUAGAGCAUGGUGCUGAUGAUACUAAGGCCGCGGGUUCGAUCCCCGUAUGGGACA